This 227-nucleotide unclassified non-coding RNA is filed under the name Hevea brasiliensis (rubber tree). The record is from RNAcentral. Lineage: Eukaryota; Viridiplantae; Streptophyta; Magnoliopsida; Malpighiales; Euphorbiaceae.
GUAGCAGUGACUGUGAUGGUUCCAGGGAGACACCAUUUGGGAUCAUUGUCACAUUUCAUUUCAUAGCAAGCUCCACAGCUCAAGCCAUCGUUGAAUAGGGCAGUACUAAGUGCUGCAGUGUUAGUACCGUACCUUUGGCUGUACAAAUUGCCAUAACCGCAAGCACCUCCCAUUGUCCCAGUAGCAUCACCCCCACCAUAGAAAGUGGCAUGACCACCUUGCCACCC